This 447-nucleotide ribosomal RNA is filed under the name uncultured bacterium. RNAcentral's name for it is "bacterial SSU rRNA". It matches the Rfam family "Bacterial small subunit ribosomal RNA", at positions 29 to 521 of the family's 1533-position model. The record is from RNAcentral.
AGCGAACGCUGGCGGCAGGCCUAACACAUGCAAGUCGAACGGAUCCUUCGGGAUUAGUGGCGGACGGGUGAGUAACACGUGGGAACGUGCCCUUUGGUUCGGAACAACUCAGGGAAACUUGAGCUAAUACCGGAUGUGCCCUUCGGGGGAAAGAUUUAUCGCCAUUGGAGCGGCCCGCGUCUGAUUAGCUAGUUGGUGAGGUAAAGGCUCACCAAGGCGACGAUCAGUAGCUGGUCUGAGAGGAUGAUCAGCCACAUUGGGACUGAGACACGGCCCAGACUCCUACGGGAGGCAGCAGUGGGGAAUAUUGGACAAUGGGCGAAAGCCUGAUCCAGCAAUGCCGCGUGAGUGAUGAAGGCCUUAGGGUUGUAAAGCUCUUUUGUCAGGGAAGAUGAUGACGGUACCUGAAGAAUAAGCACCGGCUAACUUCGUGCCAGCAGCCGCGGU